UGACCAAUCCCGCAAGGGGUCUUGGAGCUCGCUAUUCAGCGGCCCCUAAAAUCAGUGGCGGUGCCAUCUGGCUCUAAGCGUAGUAACUUUUCUCGCUAUAGGGUUCUUAUGGAUGCUUGCCAUAACCUCAACUUCUCAC
Molecule: unclassified non-coding RNA, 139 nt
Filed under: uncultured Helotiales
Lineage: Eukaryota; Fungi; Ascomycota; Leotiomycetes; Helotiales
Description: sequence contains ITS2
Source: RNAcentral